UCCCCAGUGGUCCAAUGGUUAGGACUCAGUGCUUUCACUGCAGGGUCCCAGAUUCAAUCCCUGGUGGGGGAC
This 72-nucleotide transfer RNA is filed under the name Ovis aries (sheep). It matches the Rfam family "tRNA". From Rfam's summary of the family: Transfer RNA (tRNA) molecules are approximately 80 nucleotides in length. Their secondary structure includes four short double-helical elements and three loops (D, anti-codon, and T loops). The record is from Rfam by way of RNAcentral. Lineage: Eukaryota; Metazoa; Chordata; Mammalia; Artiodactyla; Bovidae.